RNAcentral lists this ribosomal RNA (253 nucleotides) under uncultured bacterium. RNAcentral describes it as "partial 16S ribosomal RNA". It matches the Rfam family "Bacterial small subunit ribosomal RNA", at positions 524 to 776 of the family's 1533-position model. The record is from RNAcentral.
UACGAAGGGGGCUAGCGUUGCUCGGAAUCACUGGGCGUAAAGGGUGCGUAGGCGGAUAGUUUAGUUGGGGGUGAAAGCCCGGGGCUCAACCUCGGAAUUGCCUUCAAUACUGGCUAUCUUGAGUGUGAGAGAGGUGUGUGGAACUCCGAGUGUAGAGGUGAAAUUCGUAGAUAUUCGGAAGAACACCAGUGGCGAAGGCGACACACUGGCUCACUACUGACGCUGAGGCGCGAAAGCGUGGGGAGCAAACAGG